ACAACAUCCUUGAGUGGUGGUGCAUCAGCUCGUCGGUAGAGCGAUGCAAGAGGGAAGUCCAGUGAGAAUCUGGUACAGUGCCCGCUACUGUGAUCCCCCUAUUUCACAGAGCCUAGCACAAGAUGAAUACAAGCCACUGUCUGACGGAGGUCAGGUGGGAAGGCGGUGUUAGGCUGGGGUAAGUCAGGAGACCUGCCACUACUCGUAACUUAGU
RNAcentral lists this non-coding RNA (214 nucleotides) under Porphyromonas asaccharolytica. RNAcentral also lists the same sequence under 1 other name. The record is from RNAcentral. Lineage: Bacteria; Pseudomonadati; Bacteroidota; Bacteroidia; Bacteroidales; Porphyromonadaceae.